Xenopus tropicalis (tropical clawed frog) is the source of this 81-nucleotide microRNA precursor. Ensembl annotates it as xtr-mir-208. Its record names the gene xtr-mir-208. Lineage: Eukaryota; Metazoa; Chordata; Amphibia; Anura; Pipidae. The record is from Ensembl.
UCCUUUCAACAGGCAAGCUUUUUGCUUGGAUUAUGUUUUCUGUUGUUGUAUAAGACGAGCAUAAAGCUUGUUUGUUAGAAG